AACGAACGCUGGCGGCAGGCCUAACACAUGCAAGUCGAGCGAGGACUUCGGUCCUAGCGGCGGACGGGUGAGUAACGCGUGGGAACGUGCCCUUUGCUUCGGAAUAGCCCUGGGAAACUGGGAGUCAUACCGGAUGAGCCCUUUGGGGGAAAGAUUUAUCGGGGAAGGAUCGGCCCGCGUUGGAUUAGGUAGUUGGUGGGGUAAUGGCCUGCCAAGCCGACGAUCCAUAGCUGGUUUGAGAGGAGGAUCAGCCACACUGGGACUGAGACACGGCCCAGACUCCGACGCGAGGCAGCAGUGGGGAAUCUUAGACAAUGGGGGAAACCCUGAUCUAGCCAUGCCGCGUGAGCGAUGAAGGCCUUAGGGUUGUAAAGCUCUUUCAGCUGGGAAGAUAAUGACGGUACCAGCAGAAGAAGCCCCGGCUAACUCCGUG
RNAcentral lists this ribosomal RNA (433 nucleotides) under uncultured bacterium. Its description in RNAcentral is "partial 16S ribosomal RNA". It matches the Rfam family "Bacterial small subunit ribosomal RNA", at positions 29 to 507 of the family's 1533-position model. The record is from RNAcentral.